AGGUGAGCCUGCGGAAGGAUCAUUACCGAGUUCAUGCCCUUACGGGUAGAUCUCCCACCCUUUGUAUACUAUACCUUUGUUGCUUUGGCGGGCCGCCUAGCUACUGGCUUCGGCUGGUAUGUGCCCGCCAGAGGACCCAAAACCCUGAAUUAUUAGUGUCGUCUGAGUAAAAUAUUUAAUAUUUAAAACUUUCAACAACGGAUCUCUUGGCUCUGG
RNAcentral lists this unclassified non-coding RNA (216 nucleotides) under uncultured fungus. RNAcentral's name for it is "partial contains 18S rRNA, ITS1 and 5.8S rRNA". The record is from RNAcentral. Lineage: Eukaryota; Fungi.